UUAGAGAGAGAGAAAGAGAGAUUGCACGAUUUUGGUAAUUGACACUUGGCACGAUAACGCAAUAUUGAUAAACAACUGUUGGCUGACACAAACUGCUACCUAGUGUCUUGUCUAAUUUUUUGAGAAAGCUAAACAUACGCACAAUAAUACAGAUUUUUAUUAUGCAUAUUAUAGUUCAAAUAUUAUGGAUCAUUCUCAUAGUUUUAAUCUCAGAUGCUGCGAUGAGGCCUAUAGUACCAUUAUCAAUGAGUAAUACAAAUAUAGAAUACAGUGUAGAAGAAAAAAUUCAGAAUGUUAAAUUAGAAAAUAAUAUAAGAGAUAUCACGAUGUUUUAUUAUAUAUU
Long non-coding RNA from Nylanderia fulva, 343 nucleotides. RefSeq lists it as uncharacterized. The record is from RefSeq and is a predicted model, not a curated record. NCBI's taxonomy places the organism in Eukaryota, Metazoa, Arthropoda, Insecta, Hymenoptera, Formicidae.